RNAcentral lists this ribosomal RNA (492 nucleotides) under uncultured bacterium. RNAcentral's name for it is "partial 16S ribosomal RNA". It matches the Rfam family "Bacterial small subunit ribosomal RNA", at positions 29 to 507 of the family's 1533-position model. The record is from RNAcentral.
AGUGAACGCUGGCGGUAGGCCUAACACAUGCAAGUCGAACGGCAGCACAGUAAGAGCUUGCUCUUACGGGUGGCGAGUGGCGGACGGGUGAGGAAUACAUCGGAAUCUACUUUUUCGUGGGGGAUAACGUAGGGAAACUUACGCUAAUACCGCAUACGACCUACGGGUGAAAGCAGGGGAUCUUCGGACCUUGCGCGAUUGAAUGAGCCGAUGUCGGAUUAGCUAGUUGGCGGGGUAAAGGCCCACCAAGGCGACGAUCCGUAGCUGGUCUGAGAGGAUGAUCAGCCACACUGGAACUGAGACACGGUCCAGACUCCUACGGGAGGCAGCAGUGGGGAAUAUUGGGCGAUGGGCGCAAGCCUGAUCCAGCCAUACCGCGUGGGUGAAGAAGGCCUUCGGGUUGUAAAGCCCUUUUGUUGGGAAAGAAAAGCAGCAGGUUAAUACCCCGCUGUUCUGACGGUACCCAAAGAAUAAGCACCGGCUAACUUCGUG